CUCUUCGCUCCACCCCCUGUUCCACCCCCUGUUCUUGCCCCUGCAGGCAGUCCGGUGAGUGUAUAUAUGUUUGUCUAUUGCUUUGGCUUGUGCGGCCGUCCUGCAGAUACUAAUGAGUUCGCUUUUAUAUUAUGUAGCAUCAGUCAUGGGGUUCGAACCCGACCCCUUCUCCAGGCAGUGGGUGGCAGGUUACUACUUAUGGCCACCCAAGUACGCAGCACACGUGGCCUGGUGCCCAUCCGCAGCACGGCCACCCCGGGUUGUCCGGCAGCCCUCCUCCGCGCCCCGGGUACUCGUACCCGUACCCGUCGGUGCCAGGGCAGGCCAUGUGGGCGCCGUGGGCAGGUGCGAGCUCUCCACACCCUCGAGGGCACUCACCCUGGUCGGCUUGGCCAGAUGGGGGCUCGGGACACGACGGAGGCCACGACGACGACGGGUCAGAGUCACAGCACUAGGGGUGAGGCGCUAGCGACUUUGAGGAGUGAUAUUCAUGUGGACUUGUGGUUUAUGUUAUGAACUUGUGGUUUAUGUUAUGAACUUAUGGUUUAUGUUGGACGUAAUGUUAGAUUUGUCAUAUCUAUGUGGAUUUGUGAUAUCUGUGGACUUCGAUAUGUUUCAUGUGUGAUAUAUAUAUAUAUAUAUAUACAUAUGUGGCUGUGCAUGUAAAAAACAGAGAAAAAACAAAAAAACAAAACUAAAUUCCCAGCUUUGCCGAGAGCCUGGAUGGCUGGCACUCGGCAAAGAUAGAAAGCCGGGUUCAGAAGAACUACAGCUUUGCCG
RNAcentral lists this long non-coding RNA (780 nucleotides) under Sorghum bicolor (sorghum). Its description in RNAcentral is "long non-coding RNA (SBIC_LNC001640)". The record is from RNAcentral. Lineage: Eukaryota; Viridiplantae; Streptophyta; Magnoliopsida; Poales; Poaceae.